AACUCCUCACACUUGUCUUUUCUUCUCUUUCUAUUUUCUGACACCUACAGCUCUAUCUCCACUCUCUCACUUUGUUGCAGAAUCUUCUUUCUACUCACUGCCACUCUCUCACUCUCUUUUCUGUUCUCUCUUCUUCCUCUGAACAUCUAACUUCAUAAUGGGGACCAGAAUUCCUUCUCACCAGCUCAAAAAUGGCCUUCUAGUUUCAGGUCCACCCGAGCACCUCAAGGAGAAGCAACCCACAAUGGCAUCACGCGCCGUUCCCUAUACCGGCGGUGACGUCAAGAAGUCUGGCGAGCUUGGCAAAAUGUUUGACAUCCCUGUCCUCGAUCAACACUCGCCUACUGGCGCUCCUCCUAUACCCAAACAACACUCCCGCCCUUCUUCCUCUUCCCAACACAAUAGCGGAUCCGUCCGAUCGGGGCCCAACUCCGGCCCAGUCAAGAAAUCCUCCGGUCCCCUGCCCCUCCAGCCCACCGGUCUCAUUACCUCCGGACCGCUCGGCUCUGGUCCAUUGGGUUCUGGCCCACUCUCUUCGGCCCACCGGAGAUCCGGCCAACUCGACCGUGCUGGCUCCGGGGUUGGAUCCGGCUCUAGUAAAUCGCUUUACGGGUCAGCGGUCACCAGCUUGACGGAGGAUGUCAAUGUCGGUUUUAGGGUUUCGAGGCCAGUGGUGUGGGUGGUAUUAGUGGUGGUGGCGAUGGGAUUGCUUGUGGGCGCGUUUCUGAUGGUGGCAGUUAAAAAAGCGGUUAUUUUGGUGGCGGUGGGGGCGAUAUUGGUGCCCGUAAUUCUGGGGCUUGUCUGGAAUUGCGUAUGGGGAAGGAGAGGGUUGUUAGGGUUUGUUAAGAGGUACCCUGAUGCUGAGCUAAGAGGUGCUAUUGAUGGGCAAUACGUCAAGGUCACGGGGGUUGUCACUUGUGGCAGUAUACCUUUGGAAUCAUCUUACCAGAGGGUACCCAGGUGUGUAUACAUUUCCACGGAGUUGUAUGAAUAUAGGGGGUGGGGUGGAAAAUCUGCUCAUCCCAAGCACCGUUUCUUCUCAUGGGGAUCUAGAUAUUCAGAGAAAUAUGUUGCGGAUUUUUACAUAUCAGAUUUUCAGUCAGGAUUGAGAGCAUUAGUGAAGGCAGGCUAUGGGGCUAAGGUUGCUCCGUUUGUCAAACCAGUUACAGUAGUUGAUGUAAAGAAGGAGAAUAGAGAUUUCUCUCCCAGCUUUUUACGCUGGUUAGCUGAUCACAGCCUCUCCAGUGAUGACCGGAUUAUGCGCCUAAAAGAAGGGUAUAUAAAAGAAGGGAGCACUGUAAGUGUGAUGGGUGUUGUUCGACGCCAUGAUAAUGUGUUGAUGAUAGUUCCACCUCAAGAGCCUGUCUCAACAGGCUGUCAAUGGUUCCAAUGCCUCCUCCCAACCUACGUUGAAGGUCUUGUUUUGAUGUGUGAUGACAAUCAAGAUGCUGAUGUGGUUCCUGUGUAGAUAUCUGGUGUAUCACCACAGUUAGGGUUUUGUCUUGAGCUGGAUUUCACAAAGUAAAUAGUGGAAGGGUGGUGAGCAAUGGAUUCAUGAGGCAUCGCUGAACCACAUUCCCUUUUUUUCCAGGUAUUAAAAGUGCAUAUAAAGUGUCCUUGAAGUUCCAGAGCCACUAGACUGAAGAUAUGUAUAAAUGAAGCAUAUUCUAGUGAAAAAGCUUUAAAUAUGCUUUUGGAGAUUGUGACGAGUUCACUGCGAAAGAAGCUGGACAAUGUUGUAUCACAAUGGCACUAGGCACUAGGCACUUUGGCUGAUUUUUGUACAUAAGUUGGCAGAGCUGCCCAAAGGGGUUCGGAAAUGGUUGAUUACUUAAAAUGAACUUGAUGUUAGUAUGGCUAAAAUUGGAGAAAUUUGGUAUAUUUGAUCAAAGUAGCCAUUUAAAGGAGAUUAGAGUUGAAUUGCAAAAAUUUUUUAAAGUUGAGAAAAAAAUGGCCGAGAGCGACACAACCUGCAACACAACCAAUUUAGCUUAUGUCGCAGGUUGUGUCGAGCGUCAGAUAUUCAGGCAGAUUGCGACACAACCCGCGACACAACCGAUGCAGCUUAUGUCACUUUUACUGGAAAUGGCUGACGUGGCAUUUCCGUUACUCUGAUUUUUUUACCUCACUUUCUCUGGAACCUUCCCACUUUUUACCCAUUCUAGGGCAGUCCCCUCACCUAUAUAAAGUCUCAUUUAUCAUUUUCUUUCCAUAGAGAGCAAGGGAGGCAUUUUUGGCAAGAAAAGAAAGAGAGAAAGAGGGAGUACGGGUUCCAUUUUUUCCAGCAGCUGCAGAACCCGUUUUUUGCACUUUUCUGCAGCAGAUUCUGCUGCAUAUUUCUGGGUUUUUCUACUCCUUAGCUUACAUUUCCAUUAUUUCUUUAUUUAUACAUUUGGGUUUGUCUUGAAACUAUGAUUAGUGAGUAGUUAUUUGAGAUUCUAGAGAUGGGUUUGUAAAUAUUAAUUUGUAUUGUGGUUUUGAACUGAUUUAGCCAUUUAAAUGGGAUUUGUUACAUUUUGAUUUA
This is an RNA transcript of Hevea brasiliensis (rubber tree), 2524 nucleotides long. RefSeq lists it as uncharacterized. The transcript has 5 exons. The record is from RefSeq and is a predicted model, not a curated record. NCBI's taxonomy places the organism in Eukaryota, Viridiplantae, Streptophyta, Magnoliopsida, Malpighiales, Euphorbiaceae.